Molecule: ribosomal RNA, 441 nt
Filed under: uncultured bacterium
Lineage: Bacteria
Description: bacterial SSU rRNA
Rfam family: Bacterial small subunit ribosomal RNA
Source: RNAcentral
AACGCGAAGAACCUUACCUACUCUUGACAUCCUGCGAAUUCUGAAGAGAUUUAGAAGUGCCGAAGGAACGCAGAGACAGGUGCUGCAUGGCUGUCGUCAGCUCGUGUUGUGAGAUGUUGGGUUAAGUCCCGUAACGAGCGCAACCCUUGUCCUUAGUUGCCAGCAAGUAAAGUUGGGGACUCUAAGGAGACCGCCGGUGAUGAACCGGAGGAAGGCGGGGACGACGUCAAGUCAUCAUGGCCUUUAUGAGUAGGGCUACACACGUGCUACAAUGGGGCGUACAGAGGGUAGCCAACCCGCGAGGGGGAGCCAAUCUCUUAAAGCGUCUCGUAGUCCGGAUUGGAGUCUGCAACUCGACUCCAUGAAGUUGGAAUCGCUAGUAAUCGCGAAUCAGCAACGUCGCGGUGAAUACGUUCCCGGGCCUUGUACACACCGCGCAUA